CACCGCCCGUCACACUAUGGGAGCUGGCCAUGCCUGAAGUCAUUACCUUAACCGCAAGGAGGGGGAUGCCGAAGGCAGGGCUAGUGACUAGAGUGAAGUCAUAACUGCUGGUUCUCGAAUCGAAUUCGGGUG
RNAcentral lists this non-coding RNA (132 nucleotides) under Morus notabilis. Its description in RNAcentral is "Bacterial small subunit ribosomal RNA". It matches the Rfam family "Bacterial small subunit ribosomal RNA", at positions 1388 to 1520 of the family's 1533-position model. Lineage: Eukaryota; Viridiplantae; Streptophyta; Magnoliopsida; Rosales; Moraceae. The record is from Rfam by way of RNAcentral.